UAACACAUGCAAGUCGAGCGAAGCCACUUUUGCGGAUUCUUCGGAUUUGAAGCAAUUGUGACUGAGCGGCGGACGGGUGAGUAACGCGUGGGUAACCUGCCUCAUACAGGGGGAUAACAGUUGGAAACGGCUGCUAAUACCGCAUAAGCGCACAGUACCGCAUGGUACCGUGUGAAAAACUCCGGUGGUAUGAGAUGGACCCGCGUCUGAUUAGCUAGUUGGUGGGGUAACGGCCUACCAAGGCGACGAUCAGUAGCCGACCUGAGAGGGUGACCGGCCACAUUGGGACUGAGACACGGCCCAAACUCCUACGGGAGGCAGCAGUGGGGAAUAUUGCACAAUGGGGGAAACCCUGAUGCAGCGACGCCGCGUGAGCGAUGAAGUAUUUCGGUAUGUAAAGCUCUAUCAGCAGGGAAGAAAAUGACGGUACCUGACUAAGAAGCCCCGGCUAACUACGUGCCAGCAGCCGCGGUAAUACGUAGGGGGCAAGCGUUAUCCGGAUUUACUGGGUGUAAAGGGAGCGUAGACGGCAUGGCAAGCCAGAUGUGAAAGCCCGGGGCUCAACCCCGGGACUGCAUUUGGAACUGUCAGGCUAGAGUGUCGGAGAGGAAAGCGGAAUUCCUAGUGUAGCGGUGAAAUGCGUAGAUAUUAGGAGGAACACCAGUGGCGAAGGCGGCUUUCUGGACGAUGACUGACGUUGAGGCUC
This 706-nucleotide ribosomal RNA is filed under the name uncultured Lachnospiraceae bacterium. RNAcentral describes it as "bacterial SSU rRNA". It matches the Rfam family "Bacterial small subunit ribosomal RNA", at positions 49 to 754 of the family's 1533-position model. Lineage: Bacteria; Bacillati; Bacillota; Clostridia; Lachnospirales; Lachnospiraceae. The record is from RNAcentral.